CUAUCAUGGUGGGAAGGUCAAACAGAACGAGUGGUGUUACUUUCAACAACGCCAUUUAGGACACGGGUCCUCCAAAUUUCUCAUUUUUCUAUUCUGAGGCCAAUCUUCGAAAAUCACACAAUUUCCAUCGUCUUUAUAUGUUCUUCAGCUUCUUUCUUUCAGUCAAGGAUCUUUCGAGAGGAUGUAUCAAGCAAAAAAAAAAAAGGGAAAAAAAAAACCGUCAUCCAAAACCCGCGCAGAACUAGGAAUGGAGCGAAAUAUCCUAAAAAUGCGACACUGAGCCACCACAAAUAAACAAAAAAGAAAAUAACAGAAGAAAAAAGAAAAACAAAACAAUUCUAACGUCAUACUUCCCCAACGUCACAAAUAGUAGUCCAUUGAAUGUUCUUUAAACCACGUGGGACUGACAGCCCCUCAACAGUCCAACUGGCAAUAGCUAACUCAAACACCCAGGCAAGAAUAGUCUUCCCCCAAUGCGUCUCCCUGCCCCAGAUCGCAUCCUCAAUAACAGCCCCAACACCAUUCAGAAUAAAGAAAGCGUAGAUCCGGGCGAGAGCAUCGAAGGGUAAUAGAGGCUUCAGGCCAUACACGUGGAAAAACCCCAUCAGCCCAAACGACGCAACCACGCCAAGAGCCCUGGCUAUGGACACUGGCACGCCGUAUCGUUCGGGUAGAGUAUACCGUAUCGGCUCAUAUGCGAGCGAGCGGCAGGGACUGGCAAAAGCACUGUGCCAUGUUUCACUCCAGAACGUGCUCAAGGAAGUUGCCGUGUAAAGAGGUCCAAACAACGGAGGGCUGGUGCGGUAACGGAGUAGAAGCUGAAGGCUCUCCCAAAGUACAUAUAUGGCGAGUAGAACUUCCAAAGCAACCACUGUAGGGUUCGAUUGUGGAAAGAACGUUUGUAGAAUGGCAAAAAGUAUGGCGUGGAGUACGAGAUUGCCCUGUUCGGUAAAGUGAGGUUUCCAUUGCUUCGACUUGGGACUUCCCCGACCAUUGCGAUAGCUAUUUUCACUCUUCCCUUUUGAGAGACUGGGUGCUGGGGCGGGGCCGAGCCGUGUGGUGUUUGGUGUAAAAGAUUCGUACCGCAAUUCUGUCAGGUAG
This 1101-nucleotide small RNA is filed under the name Histoplasma capsulatum. RNAcentral's name for it is "hypothetical RNA". Lineage: Eukaryota; Fungi; Ascomycota; Eurotiomycetes; Onygenales; Ajellomycetaceae. RNAcentral also lists the same sequence under 1 other name. The record is from RNAcentral.